RNAcentral lists this non-coding RNA (21 nucleotides) under Caenorhabditis elegans. The record is from RNAcentral. Lineage: Eukaryota; Metazoa; Nematoda; Chromadorea; Rhabditida; Rhabditidae.
UUUUUUUAAACAAUCAUGAAA